CAGCCGCCGCGGGAAUACGUAGGUCCCGAACGUUGUCCGGAUUUAUUGGGCGUAAAGCGAGCGCAGGCGGUUAGAUAAGUCUGAAGUUAAAGGCUGUGGCUUAACCAUAGUACGCUUUGGAAACUGUUUAACUUGAGUGCAAGAGGGGAGAGUGGAAUUCCAUGUGUAGCGGUGAAAUGCGUAGAUAUAUGGAGGAACACCGGUGGCGAAAGCGGCUCUCUGGUCUGUAACUGACGCUGAGGCUCGAAAGCGUGGGGAGCAAACAGGAUUAGAUACCCCAGUAGUCCCUGUCUCUUAUACA
RNAcentral lists this ribosomal RNA (301 nucleotides) under uncultured bacterium. Its description in RNAcentral is "partial 16S ribosomal RNA". It matches the Rfam family "Bacterial small subunit ribosomal RNA", at positions 509 to 808 of the family's 1533-position model. The record is from RNAcentral.